UCAGCUUUUCAAAUGUAUCUUUUAUAUUUUAUAUAACAUUUAAUUUUGAUACAUGCCUGUGAAAUCAGUUCCUGAGACCAAUACAUCAAAACUGUAGUAAAUAUUGCAGGUCUCUUCUACCAAACAACUGUGAGGUAGAAGGAUGCUACAGGGUACAAAUGUUCUGAGUAUCUCUGACCUGCUUUUUCUGUGAUAUUUUUUCAGUUUUUCUUUUCUAGUUGUUCUGUCCUCAUUGUAUGAAGACUUUGCUUUUCCCUGGAACCAAAGUGACUCUCUGACUCUGCAACAUGCCUGGAGGAUAGAGUGCUCUAAAUCCUUUCUCUGUUUUGAACUAAACUGUACAGCAAAGCAACAAACUGAAAACAAACAGCCCUGGGAGCAGAGACUGAAACUGGCUUCUCUGACCUCUCAGGUGACUUUCCUGACUUGUAAACCAGAGAGAUGUCGUUAGCCCAAUUCAUCUUUGUUUCUCAUAGGCAAGGUGAAAUAACUUCUCCACAAGGGAUUAAGAUUUUGCAUCCUUUUUCAAACAGAUGAAAAAGUGCAACAUGACAGAAUGUAAAGAAAACA
Molecule: long non-coding RNA, 570 nt
Filed under: Anas platyrhynchos platyrhynchos (common mallard)
Lineage: Eukaryota; Metazoa; Chordata; Aves; Anseriformes; Anatidae
Description: lncRNA (ENSAPLG00000025769.1)
Source: RNAcentral